UACAGAGGGUGCGAGCGUUAAUCGGAAUUACUGGGCGUAAAGCGCGCGUAGGCGGCUUUGCAAGUCGAGUGUGAAAUCCCCAGGCUUAACCUGGGAACUGCAUUCGAGACUGCAUGGCUAGAGUAUGGGAGAGGGAAGUGGAAUUUCAGGUGUAGCGGUGAAAUGCGUAGAUAUCUGAAGGAACACCUGAGGUGAAGACGGGUUGCUGGGCUGACACUGACGCUGAGGCGCGACAGCAUGGGGAGCAAACGGG
RNAcentral lists this ribosomal RNA (253 nucleotides) under uncultured bacterium. RNAcentral's name for it is "partial 16S ribosomal RNA". It matches the Rfam family "Bacterial small subunit ribosomal RNA", at positions 524 to 776 of the family's 1533-position model. The record is from RNAcentral.